AGGCUGAAGACCUUACCGGAUUAGCUGAGAGGUGGUGCAUGGCCGUCGUCAGUUCGUACUGUGAAGCAUCCUGUUAAGUCAGGCAACGAGCGAGACCCACGUCCACAGUUGCCAGCAUACCCUCCGGGGUGAUGGGUACACUGGUGGAGACCGCCGCUGCUAAAGCGGAGGAAGGAAUGGGCAACGGUAGGUCAGUAUGCCCCGAAUCUCCCGGGCUACACGCGGGCUACAAUGGUUGGUACAAUGGGCAUCUACCCCGAAAGGGGAAGGAAAUCUCUUAAAGCCAAUCGUAGUUCGGAUUGAGGGCUGCAACUCGCCCUCAUGAAGCUGGAAUCCGUAGUAAUCGCGUUUCAACAGAACGCGGUGAAUACGUCCCUGCUCCUU
RNAcentral lists this ribosomal RNA (384 nucleotides) under uncultured Methanosaeta sp. RNAcentral describes it as "bacterial SSU rRNA". It matches the Rfam family "Archaeal small subunit ribosomal RNA", at positions 956 to 1338 of the family's 1478-position model. Lineage: Archaea; Methanobacteriati; Methanobacteriota; Methanomicrobia; Methanotrichales; Methanotrichaceae. The record is from RNAcentral.